AUUUCGAUCCGGGGAGUAAAACCAAGGUAAAUAAUCUCUCCUCAUCCAUUCAACUCUAUCUCUUCGACCCUUGCGAGCAAGAUCAAUGAUGGAGAACAACAUGGUUGCCAAGGACAUUAACAUGAUAACCAGUGCAUAUUGGGGCUUGUGCACUAAAGAUAGCUGAUCAAAAACAGCCGGUGGAAGCUCCACUACGAAAUUUGCGAUGAGCAAAAUCCUUUCCACGAUCAUUGAAUCAACUCUUGUGCGUGGAUUCCUUGGAAAUCUGGAACA
Molecule: unclassified non-coding RNA, 273 nt
Filed under: Hevea brasiliensis (rubber tree)
Lineage: Eukaryota; Viridiplantae; Streptophyta; Magnoliopsida; Malpighiales; Euphorbiaceae
Source: RNAcentral